RNAcentral lists this ribosomal RNA (491 nucleotides) under uncultured bacterium. Its description in RNAcentral is "partial 16S ribosomal RNA". It matches the Rfam family "Bacterial small subunit ribosomal RNA", at positions 29 to 506 of the family's 1533-position model. The record is from RNAcentral.
AGUGAACGCUGGCGGUAGGCCUAACACAUGCCAGUCGAACGGCAGCACAGUAAGAGCUUGCUCUUACGGGUGGCGAGUGGCGGACGGGUGAGGAAUACAUCGGAAUCUACUUUUUCGUGGGGGAUAACGUAGGGAAACUUACGCUAAUACCGCAUACGACCUACGGGUGAAAGCAGGGGAUCUUCGGACCUUGCGCGAUUGAAUGAGCCGAUGUCGGAUUAGCUAGUUGGCGGGGUAAAGGCCCACCAAGGCGACGAUCCGUAGCUGGUCUGAGAGGAUGAUCAGCCACACUGGAACUGAGACACGGUCCAGACUCCUACGGGAGGCAGCAGUGGGGAAUAUUGGACAAUGGGGGCAAGCCUGAUCCAGCCAUACGGCGUGGGUGAAGAAGGCCUUCGGGUUGUAAAGCCCUUUUGUUGGGAAAGAAAAGCAGCAGGUUAAUACCCCGCUGUUCUGACGGUACCCAAAGAAUAAGCACCGGCAAACUUCGU